Molecule: ribosomal RNA, 253 nt
Filed under: uncultured bacterium
Lineage: Bacteria
Description: partial 16S ribosomal RNA
Rfam family: Bacterial small subunit ribosomal RNA
Source: RNAcentral
UACAGAGGGGGCAAGCGUUAUUCGGAAUUACUGGGCGUAAAGGGCGCGUAGGCGGCGUAACAAGUCACUUGUGAAAUCUCCGGGCUUAACCCGGAGCGGCCAAGUGAUACUGUUGUGCUAGAGUGCGGAAGGGGCUACUGGAAUUCCCAGUGUAGCGGUGAAAUGCGUAGAUAUUGGGAAGAACACCUGAGGCGAAGGCGGGUUGCUGGGCCGACACUGACGCUGAGGCGCGAAAGCCAGGGGAGCAAACGGG